RNAcentral lists this unclassified non-coding RNA (309 nucleotides) under Leucosporidium intermedium. RNAcentral describes it as "sequence contains 5.8S rRNA gene". The stretch from base 1 to 53 matches the Rfam family "5.8S ribosomal RNA", at positions 102 to 154 of the family's 154-position model. The record is from RNAcentral. Lineage: Eukaryota; Fungi; Basidiomycota; Microbotryomycetes; Leucosporidiales; Leucosporidiaceae.
GAACGCACCUUGCGCUCCCUGGCAUUCCGGGGAGCAUGUCUGUUUGAGUGUCAUGAACUCUUCAACCCACCAGUUUCUUGUAGACUGAUUGGUGUUUGGAUUUUGAGCGUUGCUGGAUCUUCGGAUCGUAGCUCGUUCGUAAUAUAUUAGCAACUCUAAUUCGAACUCGGAUUGACUCAGUGUAAUAGACUAUUCGCUGAGGACACGUGCUUGCAUGUGGCCGAAUGAGAUCUCAGUAGGAGCUUCCAACUACAGUAGUCAACUUUAGAUUAGACCUCAGAUCAGACAGGAUUACCCGCUGAACUUAAG